GAUGAACGCUGGCGGCGUGCCUAAUACAUGCAAGUCGAGCGGACAGACGAUGAUCUUGCUCCUCUUACGUUGGCGGCGGGCGUGUGAGGAACACGUGUAUACCCUCCCUAUGGGACUGGUAUAACUUCGUGAAUCCGGAUCUAAUACCGGAUGAUAUAUUGAACGUCAUGGGUCAAUAGUGAUAGACGUUUGUUCUGUCACUUGUAGAUUGCUCCGCGCCGCAUGAGCUAGUUGGUACAGUAACGGCUUAUCAAGUCUACGAUGCGUAUCCGAGCUGACAGGGGGAUAGGCCACACUGGAACUGAGACACGGUCCAGACUCCUACGGGAGGCCGCAGUAGGGAAUAUUACGCAAAGGGCGAAAGCUUGCAGGAGCAACGCCGCGUGGGUGAUGCAGGUCUUCGGAUCGUAAAACUCUGUUAGUAGGGAAGAACCAAUGUGUAAGGAACUAUGCAUGUUUUGACGGUACCUAAUCAGAAAGCAACGGCUAACUACGUG
RNAcentral lists this ribosomal RNA (497 nucleotides) under uncultured bacterium. RNAcentral describes it as "partial 16S ribosomal RNA". It matches the Rfam family "Bacterial small subunit ribosomal RNA", at positions 28 to 507 of the family's 1533-position model. The record is from RNAcentral.